CAGUUAAUAGUUUAAAUAAAAUUUAAGUUUUGGGGACUAAAGAUAUGAGUAAUAAUCAUUUUACUGA
This 67-nucleotide transfer RNA is filed under the name Leptobelus gazella. RNAcentral's name for it is "tRNA-Pro". Lineage: Eukaryota; Metazoa; Arthropoda; Insecta; Hemiptera; Membracidae. The record is from RNAcentral.